CUCUCAACCUUCUCUUUCUCCACACACACACACACCUCUCAACUCUCAAAAAUCUUACAUAUUUAUCAAUCUCUACAGGAAGACAAAGAAAGAUGACAGUGGGAGCAGGAAUUUGUGUAGCUGAAAGGAAGCUGAAUGUGUUGGGACAGAGCAUUCUCGCAGAUGUUAAUGAAAACAUAAUUGUAA
Non-coding RNA from Nicotiana tabacum (common tobacco), 186 nucleotides. Lineage: Eukaryota; Viridiplantae; Streptophyta; Magnoliopsida; Solanales; Solanaceae. The record is from RefSeq and is a predicted model, not a curated record.